GGCAAUGCCGGCGUCUACCAUGCAGUCGAACGGUGAAGCCCUUCGGGGUGGAUCAGUGGCGAACGGGUGAGUAACACGUGGGCAAUCUGCCCUGCACUCUGGGACAAGCCCUGGAAACGGGGUCUAAUACCGGAUACGACCUUCCCCUGCAUGGGGGUUGGUGGAAAGCUCCGGCGGUGCAGGAUGAGCCCGCGGCCUAUCAGCUUGUUGGUGGGGUAAUGGCCUACCAAGGCGACGACGGGUAGCCGGCCUGAGAGGGCGACCGGCCACACUGGGACUGAGACACGGCCCAGACUCCUACGGGAGGCAGCAGUGGGGAAUAUUGCACAAUGGGCGAAAGCCUGAUGCAGCGACGCCGCGUGAGGGAUGACGGCCUUCGGGUUGUAAACCUCUUUCAGCAGGGAAGAAGCGCAAGUGACGGUACCUGCAGAAGAAGCACCGGCUAACUACGUGCCAGCAGCCGCGGUAAUACGUAGGGUGCGAGCGUUGUCCGGAAUUAUUGGGCGUAAAGAGCUCGUAGGCGGCCUGUCGCGUCGGAUGUGAAAGCCCGGGGCUUAACCCCGGGUCUGCAUUCGAUACGGGCAGGCUAGAGUGUGGUAGGGGAGAUCGGAAUUCCUGGUGUAGCGGUGAAAUGCGCAGAUAUCAGGAGGAACACCGGUGGCGAAGGCGGAUCUCUGGGCCAUUACUGACGCUGAGGAGC
Molecule: ribosomal RNA, 700 nt
Filed under: bacterium
Lineage: Bacteria
Description: bacterial SSU rRNA
Rfam family: Bacterial small subunit ribosomal RNA
Source: RNAcentral